This 772-nucleotide ribosomal RNA is filed under the name uncultured bacterium. RNAcentral's name for it is "bacterial SSU rRNA". It matches the Rfam family "Bacterial small subunit ribosomal RNA", at positions 8 to 796 of the family's 1533-position model. The record is from RNAcentral.
AGAGUUUGAUCAUGGCUCAGGACGAACGCUGGCGGCGUGCUUAACACAUGCAAGUCGAACGGAAAGGCCCUUCGGGGUACUCGAGUGGCGAACGGGUGAGUAACACGUGGGUGAUCUGCCCUGCACUUUGGGAUAAGCCUGGGAAACUGGGUCUAAUACCGAAUACACCUCACUGGCUGCAUGGUUGGUGGGGGAAAGCUUUUGCGGUGUGGGAUGGGCCCGCGGCCUAUCAGCUUGUUGGUGAGGUUACGGCUCACCAAGGCGACGACGGGUAGUCGGCCUGAGAGGGUGACCGGCCACACUGGGACUGAGAUACGGCCCAGACUCCUACGGGAGGCAGCAGUGGGGAAUAUUGCACAAUGGGCGCAAGCCUGAUGCAGCGACGCCGCGUGGGGGAUGACGGCCUUCGGGUUGUAAACUCCUUUCAGCACAGACGAAGCGCAAGUGACGGUAUGUGCAGAAGAAGGACCGGCCAACUACGUGCCAGCAGCCGCGGUAAUACGUAGGGUCCGAGCGUUGUCCGGAAUUACUGGGCGUAAAGAGCUCGUAGGUGGUUUGUCGCGUUGUUCGUGAAAACUCACAGCUUAACUGUGGGCGUGCGGGCGAUACGGGCGGACUUGAGUACUGCAGGGGAGACUGGCAUUCCUGGUGUAGCGGUGGAAUGCGCAGAUAUCAGGAGGAACACCGGUGGCGAAGGCGGGUCUCUGGGCAGUAACUGACGCUGAGGAGCGAAAGCGUGGGGAGCGAACAGGAUUAGAUACCCUGGUAGUCC